AAGGGUUUGAUCCUGGCUCAGAUUGAACGCUGGCGGCAGGCCUAACACAUGCAAGUCGAGCGGAUGAAGGGAGCUUGCUCCUGGAUUCAGCGGCGGACGGGUGAGUAAUGCCUAGGAAUCUGCCUGGUAGUGGGGGAUAACGUCCGGAAACGGGCGCUAAUACCGCAUACGUCCUGAGGGAGAAAGUGGGGGAUCUUCGGACCUCACGCUAUCAGAUGAGCCUAGGUCGGAUUAGCUAGUUGGUGGGGUAAAGGCCUACCAAGGCGACGAUCCGUAACUGGUCUGAGAGGAUGAUCAGUCACACUGGAACUGAGACACGGUCCAGACUCCUACGGGAGGCAGCAGUGGGGAAUAUUGGACAAUGGGCGAAAGCCUGAUCCAGCCAUGCCGCGUGUGUGAAGAAGGUCUUCGGAUUGUAAAGCACUUUAAGUUGGGAGGAAGGGCAGUAAGUUAAUACCUUGCUGUUUUGACGUUACCAACAGAAUAAGCACCGGCUAACUUCGUGCCAGCAGCCGCGGUAAUAC
Molecule: ribosomal RNA, 524 nt
Filed under: uncultured bacterium
Lineage: Bacteria
Description: bacterial SSU rRNA
Rfam family: Bacterial small subunit ribosomal RNA
Source: RNAcentral